GGGCGGCCGGACCGCGGCGGACGGUCCGGUGGGCCGGUCACCGGGGCGUGCCGACACGCCCCGGUGUGCUGUUCAUCGUCCGCGGUCGCCGUC
This 93-nucleotide transfer RNA is filed under the name Streptomyces sp. MBT84. RNAcentral describes it as "tRNA-Arg". Lineage: Bacteria; Bacillati; Actinomycetota; Actinomycetes; Kitasatosporales; Streptomycetaceae. The record is from RNAcentral.